CAGUCGCCGCGGUAAUACCGAGGGUGCGAGCGUUAAUCGGAUUUACUGGGCGUAAAGCGUGCGUAGGCGGCUUCUUAAGUCGGAUGUGAAAUCCCUGAGCUUAACUUAGGAAUUGCAUUCGAUACUGGGAAGCUAGAGUAUGGGAGAGGAUGGUAGAAUUCCAGGUGUAGCGGUGAAAUGCGUAGAGAUCUGGAGGAAUACCGAUGGCGAAGGCAGCCAUCUGGCCUAAUACUGACGCUGAGGUACGAAAGCAUGGGGAGCAAACAGGAUUAGAUACCCCCGUAGUCCCUGUCUCUUAUAC
This 301-nucleotide ribosomal RNA is filed under the name uncultured bacterium. Its description in RNAcentral is "partial 16S ribosomal RNA". It matches the Rfam family "Bacterial small subunit ribosomal RNA", at positions 509 to 807 of the family's 1533-position model. The record is from RNAcentral.